UCUGGUAGUUAUGGCGAGAAGGUCACACCCGUUCCCAUCCCGAACACGGUAGUUAAGC
Molecule: ribosomal RNA, 58 nt
Filed under: Listeria monocytogenes
Lineage: Bacteria; Bacillati; Bacillota; Bacilli; Caryophanales; Listeriaceae
Source: RNAcentral